This 252-nucleotide ribosomal RNA is filed under the name uncultured bacterium. RNAcentral's name for it is "partial 16S ribosomal RNA". It matches the Rfam family "Bacterial small subunit ribosomal RNA", at positions 524 to 776 of the family's 1533-position model. The record is from RNAcentral.
UACGUAGGGGGCGAGCGUUGUCCGGAUUUAUUGGGCGUAAAGAGCGUGUAGGUGGUUCGAAAGGUCGUGCGUCAAAUCCUGCGGCUCAACCGCAGUCCGCGUGCGAAACCAUCGAGCUAGAGUCCGGAAGAGGAGAGUGGAAUUCCAGGUGUAGCGGUGGAAUGCGCAGAUAUCUGGAAGAACACCAGUGGCGAAGGCGGCUCUCUGGGACGGUACUGACACUGAGACGCGAAAGCGUGGGGAGCAAACAGG